GCCUAACCUACACCACAGUUGGUAAAGCACGAGACUCUUAAUCUCAGAGUCAUGAAUUCAAGCCCCAUGUUGGGCG
Podarcis lilfordi (Lilford's wall lizard) is the source of this 76-nucleotide non-coding RNA. The record is from the annotation of a GenBank genome assembly. NCBI's taxonomy places the organism in Eukaryota, Metazoa, Chordata, Lepidosauria, Squamata, Lacertidae.